RNAcentral lists this ribosomal RNA (253 nucleotides) under uncultured bacterium. RNAcentral's name for it is "partial 16S ribosomal RNA". It matches the Rfam family "Bacterial small subunit ribosomal RNA", at positions 524 to 776 of the family's 1533-position model. The record is from RNAcentral.
UACAGAGACUGCAAGCGUUAUUCGGAUUCACUGGGCGUAAAGGGUGCGCAGGCGGCCGAAUGUGUCAGGUGUGAAAGCCUGGGGCUCAACCCCAGAAUUGCGCCUGAAACUGUUCGGCUAGAGUGCCGGAGAGGAUAGCGGAAUUCACGGUGUAGCAGUGAAAUGCGUAGAUAUCGUGAAGAACACCAGCGGCGAAGGCGGCUAUCUGGAAGGCAACUGACGCUCAGGCACGAAAGCGUGGGGAGCAAAAGGG